RNAcentral lists this transfer RNA (98 nucleotides) under Apiosordaria backusii. It matches the Rfam family "tRNA". Rfam says of the family: Transfer RNA (tRNA) molecules are approximately 80 nucleotides in length. Lineage: Eukaryota; Fungi; Ascomycota; Sordariomycetes; Sordariales; Lasiosphaeriaceae. The record is from Rfam by way of RNAcentral.
GCAGACAUGGCCGAGUGGUCUAAGGCGAUGGUUUUAAGUUGCAUAUAACUUUAUCACCAUUAUCGAGAGAUGCGUGGGUUCGAACCCCACUGUCUGCA